Molecule: ribosomal RNA, 593 nt
Filed under: uncultured Methylobacterium sp.
Lineage: Bacteria; Pseudomonadati; Pseudomonadota; Alphaproteobacteria; Hyphomicrobiales; Methylobacteriaceae
Description: bacterial SSU rRNA
Rfam family: Bacterial small subunit ribosomal RNA
Source: RNAcentral
CAUGCAGUCGAACGCAUCCUUCGGGAUGAGUGGCAGACGGGUGAGUAACACGUGGGAACGUGCCCUCCGGUCUGGGAUAACCCUGGGAAACUAGGGCUAAUACCGGAUACGUGCUUUGGCAGAAAGGUUUACUGCCGGAGGAUCGGCCCGCGUCUGAUUAGCUAGUUGGUGGGGUAACGGCCUACCAAGGCGACGAUCAGUAGCUGGUCUGAGAGGAUGAUCAGCCACACUGGGACUGAGACACGGCCCAGACUCCUACGGGAGGCAGCAGUGGGGAAUAUUGGACAAUGGGCGCAAGCCUGAUCCAGCCAUGCCGCGUGAGUGAUGACGGCCUUAGGGUUGUAAAGCUCUUUUCUCCGGGACGAUAAUGACGGUACCGGAGGAAUAAGCCCCGGCUAACUUCGUGCCAGCAGCCGCGGUAAUACGAAGGGGGCUAGCGUUGCUCGGAAUCACUGGGCGUAAAGGGCGCGUAGGCGGCGUUUUAAGUCGGGGGUGAAAGCCUGUGGCUCAACCACAGAAUGGCCUUCGAUACUGGGACGCUUGAGUCUGGUAGAGGUUGGUGGAACUGCGAGUGUAGAGGUGAAAUUCGUAGA